AACGAUUUGGUGUCAGAGUAUCAGCAGUACCAAGACGCAACGGCUGAUGAUGAAGAAGGGUAUGAGUAUGAAGAAGAUGAAGAGGAAGUGCUGGAGGAGCAAUGACGGUAAGAGAAGAAAAGACCUCGUGUAGCUCAUUGUCGUGUGUGUGAGUUUUUUUUAAUUAGUGUCUUUUUAUCUCUCAUGUUGAUUGGCUUGGUUUUUCUUUUAUGCGGGUUUGGUUUUCUUUUAUUGACAUUUGGAUAUGUGUGUUUAGAGCUUAGGAAAAUAUGUGUUUAUAUAAGUCUUUUCAAGUGACUGGAUUUGAGAUAUUGUUUGUUAUUUUUCCCCUAAAGGUUUUGUGGUAAUAUGAUUUCUCUUCUCGUGAUUCCCUCUGCGUGCAACACGGUGUUUUUAUCACAUUAUUAUCGCAUUUUCAACUUAAAUGGGAUACACGAUGCAACUCCUGUUAAGUAGAAGCCUUGUUAGUUGGUAUGGUCUCUGGCAGUGGCUGAUCUAGAAACAAAUUUCAUCUGGGGCAAAACUAAAAAUAUACUUACAAAAUUAACUUUUCAACAGGGGAAAUAUAAAAUAUUAGUAAAAAAUUACAUUAGCUAAAAAAAUCCAUGGUGGGCAAGUGCCCCACCCACUGACCACAUAGACUCGCCCCUGGUCUCUGCUAUGUUAAGGUCUGUUGGGUUAUGAAAUGACGACAGAGCUAUCAUCAUGUGUAGUUUCUCUCAAGAGUAUAUUAGUGAAUUGUUGCCUUGUUGGUGUAGAUGUUGAGACUUAGGAAUACUCAUUCCAAAAUCUUGAACUCAAAAUCUUGAGGUAAAAACUAUCUAAUUUCGACCGUAUAGUGUUCUUUUAGUUCGUCUAGAAGACUCAUGACUGCUUGUUAAUGUGGGUGAAAUCUUCUCUAUUAAAAGAGAAGUACCAUUUUUAUCUACUACAAAAUAGUCAUACUAGAAAUCUAGGUCCAUAUAUCCAAAUAAUUUUUUUAUUGUUUACAUUAGUUUAUUUAAUGUAUAACAUUUCUAAAUAAUUAUAAAGAUAUUAAUAACAAAUCCAUUUUAACUAUAAAUUUAAAUUUUAGUUAUAGGAAUAACAAAAUCUGUUGAGAAAAAAUCUAACAAAAUCUUUUUAAAAAUUUAAAUAUUCUUUUAAUUAAUACACUGAUUAAUUUCGCAAUUAGUAGUAUAAUAUUAUUAUAAAUUAAUUUUAAUUAAAUUUUUAUUAUUAACAAAAUAAUGAAUUUUUUUGCUAAUUUUAUAAAUUUCGGUGGUUCGUAUCACAAUCAUUUAACUUUCCUUUUUCUUAUCAUUUCCUUUUUCCUUUAACCCUUAGACUCUUUCUUACUUUCCUUUUUAGACGCCACCCGUUCUCGGUGUCCCACUCAAUCCAUUUAACAAUCAUUCAUUGAUAUCCUAUCAUUCAUCUAACCAGACCGGUUAACAGUUCUCUUAUUACCCUACGUUUAAUUCCUUCUAAGCAUCCUAGCUUUCAACCACAAUCAAGAAUAGUUCAUCAACCAAUCACUCAUUCAUCAUUCAAUCAACACAAACAAUCCAUUUACUGUCCUUAAAAAAAACUAGGCCUGGGCAUUAUAUCCGUAACCCGAUAUUCGAACCGAAAAACCCGAUCUGUAUCCGGUCCGAAAUGUAAAAAAUAUCCGAAUGGAUCUUGUAAGGUGGUACAAAACAUAUCCGAAUCCGAAGUGCUAUGCCCCGAGCCUGAAAAGAUAACCUGAAAAACCGAAAAAACUGAAAAGAUAUCCGAAGAAACUGAUCCGAAUGUCCAAAAUAAUAUACAAUAUAAUUAUAUGAAACAUGAAUAUAUACUUCAAAUAUUCAAUUUCAUAUUUAUUUUGAUAUGUUAUCUAACAAUAAGUAUUUAAAAUAUAAAUAACUAACUUAAAUACUUAAUUAUAUAUAAAUAAAUAUAUAUUUCUUAUGUUUUACUUUUAAAUUUUAGAUUUUAUUUCAGGUAUAUCCAAACCGAUCCAAUAUAACCCAAAUCCGAAUGAUAUAUGAUUGUUUUAUGGGUUCUAUGAUGUAAUACAAACCCGACUCGAACCCGAUGUGUUAUAUCCGAACCGACCCGUACUUCAAAAAUUACUAGAAUGAGACCUAGGAGGUCUUAUAAAAAAGAACUCAAAUCUGAAAAACCCGACCAAAUGCCAACGGAUACCCGACCGCUCAUGCCUAUUUCAAGCAGCUUCACUACUCAAUCUCAGGAGUUCUUUGUGACCAAAAGGUCUACUCAAUCUCAGGAGUUCUUUGUGACCAAAAGGUCUACUCAAUCUCAGGAGUUCUUUGUGACCAAAAGGUCGAGAAAAGGUCUAAUGUGCUAUUAAAUAAAAUAAAAUUGUUAAUUACACAAAGUAUUUUAAAAUUAGGGUAUUUAAUGGAUAGUAAGUAAACCUAAAUGUAUGUCUAGUUAACUGUUUAUUCAAUAUUUUUUGGUCCCAAACCUAUAAGGUUUGUUAUCGUGACUCCCAAACCUACAGGGUAUGUUAAUUGUUAAAUUAAAACCCUCGAUGUGUGUAUGUGUUGCACUAUUAAAACUUGACGGUCACAUACUUACCUCACAAGAUUCUCUCUCUUUUUCUCUUCUUUUGUCCUCUCUUUCUCUUUCCUAAACUCGUUUAGAAUCUUCUACUCGAUUCUCACCAUCUUCUUUUUUCUGGUUUCUCCGUCGGUGAAGAGUAUAACAACAGCAGCCCACCGAUGAGGAACUCACCGUCCAAGAACGAGCCAGGAAGUGGGCAUUCUCGCAAUUUCACAAACUGGUCUCCCUUUGUCAAGUCCUCCUCCGGUUUUGGAAUAUCUCCCAACAGAUCCUACGCCCUCCUCUCCUUACUCACCCUACUCAUCGUCGGCGCGUUCAUCUCCACGCGCAUCCUCCUAGACCCCACCGUAAGUUCCAAAACGAUACUCCCAACUUUUCUUGCUGAAUUUGGUAGAAUUAUGGAAAGCAUAUAUCUCGCAUCAUGUAUUUGACCCUUGGUUUAUUGCAUUAUUUCCUUGUAUAAAGAUCCAGCUCCUCUCUGUGUAUAAACAAAGCAUAUAACAUAAAUAGAAGUUAUCGAAAUUUACAUAAAAACUCAAUAUAAUAUCUCAGACUAUAGUUAUGUGAUAAUGGAUCGAUCUUUAAUUAACUUUGUUAAUACUUUGAAUUUUGUUCCGUCACGUGAGGAUUUUCAAUUGUGUUAGAAAGAAAGAGUCUUGGUGGUGGUGAUGUCGGCUCUCUGACAAAUCCCGCAGAAACUGACACGUGCAUAUUUUGGGACCUACCUAUGACUUUUUCGAGUUAACUAGUUGUAACCCACUUACGAGUUACGACUAACACAUGUCAUCACCGUUUUUUCAAACUUAAUAGGUUCUGCUAGAGAAAGAGGCCGUCACGACAAAGACUAGAUCACAUACGAUAUUCCCAAAAUACCCUCCUCCGACUCCAGUAACUACACAAAGCCCUAAACCGGAGUUCACACUACACUGCUCCGCCAACGACACCAAUGCAACGUGUCCAAGAAACAGCUACCCGGCCACGGCGAGCUUCGGAGAAGAUGCUCCGACCGCCACGUGUCCGGAUUACUUCCGCUGGAUCCACGAGGAUCUCCGUCCCUGGGCGAAGACGGGGAUCACGAGGGAGGCACUGGAGCGGGCCAAGAAGACGGCGAAUUUCCGGCUAGCGAUCGUCGGCGGGAGAGUCUACGUGGAGAAGUUUCAGGAUGCGUUUCAGACGAGAGACGUGUUCACCAUCUGGGGAUUCUUGCAGCUUCUAAGGAAGUACCCUGGGAAGAUUCCUGAUCUCGAGCUCAUGUUUGACUGCGUUGACUGGCCGGUCGUUAGAGCUUUGGAUUUCGCCGGAGUCGACGCGCCGUCGCCUCCGCCGCUGUUUCGGUACUGCGGAAACGAGGAGACGCUCGAUAUAGUGUUUCCUGAUUGGUCCUUCUGGGGGUGGUAAGACCAUCUCCAAUGGUUCACUCUAUUUUUUAAUCUAAAAUAGAGUGACUCUAUAAUAGAGUUGUGAUAUAUUCCAAUGGUACUCUAUUUUAGAGUGAAAAAUAGAGUGAUGAACAAACAAAAAACAACUUACUCUAUAUAUAGAGUAAACCCAUUUUUUACUCUAUUAUAGAGUGGAAAAUAGAGUACCAUUGGAGCAUUUUUACUCUAAACUCUAUUUUAGAGUGAAAAAUAGAGUGGGGUUGGAGAUGCCCUAAUGAGAACUUUCUUUUAUUGUUUUAGUGCAACCCGUGAUUUACCAAGUUCUCUCAAUUACACCAUAGUAGUUUCGAAUAGAUCAGAGAAACCCACUAAAGUUUUUUUGACAUGGUUGAUUUUUGUAGGUCGGAAGUGAAUAUAAAGCCAUGGGAGAGUUUGUUGAAGGAACUAAGAGAAGGGAACGAGAGGAGCACUUGGAUAAACAGAGAGCCUUAUGCUUAUUGGAAAGGGAAUCCAUCUGUGGCCGAGACAAGACAAGAUCUUAUGAAGUGUAAUGUCUCCGAGGAACACGAGUGGAACGCUCGUGUAUACGCUCAGGUAGUAAUGAUAUGGCCUUUUUGAGAAAAUACCAAAAAACUCUGAUUCUGCUGGUUACAACUGCAAUCUUGAUUUAUGUGUGUGUUUUUUGUUUUGUUUUGAUCUUGGUAGGAUUGGAUCCGAGAAUCAAAGGAAGGCUACAAGCAAUCAGACUUGGCGAGUCAAUGCCAUCACAGGUAGAGUAUAUUUUGUAGAAUUUAAAUAUAUAUUCAAAGAUUUUGGGAUUUUAAAUCAUCCCUAAACAUGAAAGUUGACAUAAGGAAUUAGUAACGGUAUGGGUCUAAUGCAAUGUUUAUCUGUAGAUAUAAGAUAUACAUAGAAGGGUCUGCAUGGUCCGUUAGCGAGAAGUACAUUUUAGCAUGUGACUCGGUGACUCUGCUGGUGAAACCCCAUUACUAUGAUUUCUUCACUCGAGGCCUGCUUCCGGCUCACCAUUAUUGGCCCGUUAGGGAGCACGACAAGUGCCGCUCCAUCAAGUUUGCUGUUCAUUGGGGCAACUCUCACAUUCAAAAGGUACAAUUAUUAACCCAUUGAACAAUUGUUUGAACUGAUAAUAGAGUCUAGAUUCUCAAGUUAUAUAUCUACCGGCUAUAUUUUCUUAUAACCAGGCGCAGGAUAUUGGAAAGACAGCGAGCGAGUUCAUUCAGCAAGAACUCAAGAUGGACUACGUGUAUGAUUACAUGUACCACCUUUUAACUGGAUACGCGAAACUCCUCCAGUUUAAACCGGAGAUCCCCCAGAAUGCCAUGGAGAUAUGUUCGGAAACAAUGGCGUGUCCAAGGAGCGGGAACGAGCGUAAGUUUAUGACGGAGUCACUAGUGAAGCACCCUGCAGAGACCGGUCCGUGUGCCAUGCCACCUCCGUACGACCCGGCGUCGUUUUACGCGGUUGAGAAGAGGAAACAAAGUACAACUAAGAGAAUACUACAGUGGGAGAUGAAGUACUGGAACAAGCAGAAUCAAACCGGCUCUUGAAUUUUUUUUAGCUUCGUUUCUUUUUUUUGUUGUAUAGAGAAAUAACAUAUAUAUAAUCCGGUUUAUUGUUGUUAUAGGUUGCCACGUUACAUGUUUCGAGUUUAGGCUAUUUCAUACGGAAUCAGAACGAAAAAAACUUCACACAGUUAUUGCGACAAAGAAUAUCCAUUAUCUAGGCUCGAUUUCGUGAUUAGUAUUCUUCGUUUCUUUCCUUCUAAUAAUAGUCUAUAACUCUAUACGCUAAAUGACAAAAGUUAUCUUGAAGUUAUGUUAGAGUGCGCAACUCGCCGGCCUAGGAAGUUACUUUGAAAUUAGUUUAAAUUUGGUAAACCAGGACUAUCAGCAGAAGAAAAAUACUAAUAAGCGCAGAGUUAUCAGAUUGUGUUGGUUAUGAAAUUGAUGGUGUAACUUGAUGGCUACUAUUCACUCACAAGACACAAGUUGCUCUAACUUUGAGAACGAUACAUUGCUUCUGAUUGAGGUCAUAAUCAUUAAAAAAGCUGUCUUUGCUGUGUCUCUAAUUUUCACGUCAUGUAUGUAGGACCCGAGUACACCUUUUGGACUUGUCUAAUUGAUUAUAGAGUGAUUUGCACGUUACUAUUCAGAUUAGACAGUCUGCAUCGCACUACAAUACUGUAUUGAUUAUAAUAUAUAGAAAGAUUAAGCAAUCGAAUGUAUUCACACAAAACUAAAUGAUAACUUUUAUAUAAAAUGGUAAUUACAGACUGAACAACAAAACUAUCAGUUUUUUUUCUUUCAAAACUAUCAGUUUCAUUCGACUCUAUCGGAAAUUUACGUGCACAUGUGCAUCUUUAGUUAUUUGUUUUCAUCUCUUUCUUAAUCAUUGUUUUGCCAUUUACUAAUACACACUUCUCGUUCGAAUAUUUACUCAUUUCAUUUCUCUAACUACGUUUUACCAUUUUUGUGCAUGAUGCAUUACGUGUUUACCGUCUAAGAAUUCAUAACCGUACCAAACCGAAAAGUACUAGCCUCAUUGCUUAUCAGACCCUGUCGAUUUUUAGUUUCGGGAUUAGCAUAAUUGCUAAUCAGAAUAAAAUGUAUAACAGUAAUCCCAAUCACGUGCUUUAACGUUGGUAUCAUGUGUCUAUCACGGUUCGCUUCAUGUGCAAGAAUAUAAAAAAGUGAGAAAAAAUAAAGAAAUUAUUCAGAUCUCGCAGCCUUUCAGUCUCCGCACCUGAGCCAGUCUGGAUCCAUCUGUACAACCCCCUCCAUGUUUUUUAUUCUUGUGCUAUGGCCAGUGGAGUUAAUGCAGAAAAUGAAGAAUCACAAAUUAUAACUUAUCCUCUAUUAAUCUUAGUUAGAAAAAUGAAUAUGCUAAUAACAUAUGUAAAUUUUUAUCAUAGAUCAAAUUUCAGUUCCAAUAAAAUUUGUAAAAUAAAACUGAUUUUACCUCAAUGAAUUGUGUUUAUGGAUUUACCUACAAAAAUAGUGUUUCUCUAUUUGCGACAGGUUCUUUUGCAAAAGAAUUAACUUAUUGUCCACAUAAUGACAGGAAAAUAUACAGAGUUUCCUGCUCUGGAAACAAAAUAUCAACAAUUAUUUGCUCAGUGGGUACCAAUCUUUAUUUGUAAAUGCCAACUUGAAGAUAGAGUGUUUAAAUAUUUAUGUAUGUCAUGGGCCAACGAGCCUAACAGCCGUUACUUACCUCCGUCAUUCGUGGCGCCAAUAAAGUCGAAUACCAACAUUACCGGUUUGAAUCCAUCGUGGACUGUGUGCGACUUUGGUUUAGCAUCGGUUUCGGUUAGGUUAAGUUGGUUCAAAUUAUUUUUAACACAUAAUCAGAAAAAGUAAAUUCACCACACAAAAUUGAAGUAAAUAAAUCAUCAAGGUAAGGGAUUGUAAUUGAGAAAAUGAAAAAAAGCAAAGUGGUGUGCAAGUUAAAUCGUCGGUUUGGUUCAGCUUGGUAUGCUUUACAUAAACCGAUUCAGUUUGAACCGGCGAGUCUCCUAGUCUCCGUUAUCUCCGCACUAUAAAAACCAACCGCUUCGUCUUCUUCAUUUCCUCCCAAGUAGUAACCGUUCAAAAUCUCUGUUCUCUCUCUCUAUAGAUUCUAGUGCUAGUCAUCGAAGAUGCGAGAGAUUCUUCACAUUCAAGGUGGACAGUGCGGGAACCAGAUCGGCGCUAAGUUCUGGGAAGUAGUGUGCGCCGAGCACGGCAUCGACUCGACGGGAAGGUACCAAGGUGAAAGCGAUUUGCAGCUCGAACGAGUCAAUGUCUACUACAACGAAGCUAGUUGCGGGAGGUUUGUCCCACGCGCCGUCUUGAUGGAUCUUGAGCCGGGGACUAUGGACAGUGUCAGAUCGGGUCCCUACGGGCAGAUCUUCCGCCCUGAUAACUUCGUCUUCGGUCAGUCCGGCGCCGGUAACAACUGGGCCAAAGGACACUACACUGAAGGUGCUGAGCUCAUAGAUUCGGUUCUGGACGUCGUCCGCAAAGAGGCCGAGAACUGUGACUGCUUGCAAGGUUAGUUUCGGUUCUCUAUUGAAAUCUUUAUUAAAUCGUCUAUAGCCCCCAAAAUCUCAGGGCGGGUUAAGAUUCGUGUGUGUUGAUGCGAAUGAUCUUUUUUUUUCAGGAUUCCAAGUGUGUCACUCGUUGGGAGGAGGAACUGGAUCUGGGAUGGGGACUUUGCUUAUCUCGAAGAUCAGGGAAGAGUAUCCAGACAGGAUGAUGUUGACGUUCUCUGUGUUCCCGUCACCUAAAGUGUCUGACACUGUUGUUGAGCCUUAUAAUGCAACUCUCUCUGUCCAUCAGCUUGUGGAGAAUGCAGAUGAGUGUAUGGUUCUUGACAACGAAGCUCUCUAUGACAUUUGCUUCAGGACUCUUAAGCUCACCACUCCUAGCUGUAAGCCUCUCUUCUUUGUAUAUCAAAUUGCUGAAUGUUAUUCAAAAUUUUAUUUAUUGAAAAUUAUAAAUUUUAUACAAUUUUUUUCAUAAAAACAUUUGUUUUUAAAAUAUAAAUAAAUUAAUCUAAAAUUAAUAUAAAUAUAAAUAUAAUAUAUAUGAUAAAAUAAUUCAUUUAUAUACCAGUCUAGUAUUAAUUUUACUUAUAUUUAAAGCUUAAGAAUUAGAACAUGAUUUUUUUAACCUUUUUAUAAUAGUCAAAAUUUAUAUUAAUGUUUUAAUUUUAUAAUAUAAAUCAAAUGUCACCACUCCUUGCGGUAAUAUUCCAGCUACUUGAUGUUGAUUGUAAUAGAAAUUGAAUGGUUUGCAUGAUUGAACUAUGCUUUUAUCUGCUUAGAGUAGAAAUUGCAUUUACAAAUCAAAUGUCACCACUCGAUGAUUUGUAAGCUCAACUUUUUGUAACAUCUCACGCACUUACACCUUGUCCUGUUGCUGGCAUCACUGUUCUAAUGGGCUAGUUUGUUUGUGUUCUGUUCAGUUGGAGACUUGAACCAUCUCAUCUCUGCCACCAUGAGUGGCGUCACUUGCUGCCUCCGUUUCCCUGGACAGCUAAACUCUGACCUGCGCAAGCUUGCAGUGAACUUGAUUCCAUUCCCUCGUCUCCACUUCUUCAUGGUGGGAUUCGCACCUCUCACAUCUCGCGGAUCGCAGCAGUACCGAGCCUUAACCGUCCCUGAGCUCACCCAACAGAUGUGGGAUGCUAAGAACAUGAUGUGCGCAGCUGACCCGCGCCACGGCAGGUACUUGACAGCAUCAGCCAUGUUCAGAGGCACAAUGAGCACCAAAGAAGUGGGCGAGCAGAUGAUCAACGUUCAGAACAAGAACUCAUCCUACUUCGUCGAGUGGAUCCCCAACAAUGUGAAAUCAACCGUCUGUGACAUUCCACCAACGGGUCUGAAAAUGGCUUCUACUUUCAUCGGCAACUCGACUUCGAUCCAAGAGAUGUUCAGGCGUGUGAGCGAGCAGUUCACUGCCAUGUUCAGGAGGAAAGCUUUCUUGCAUUGGUACACGGGUGAAGGAAUGGACGAGAUGGAGUUCACGGAGGCAGAGAGCAACAUGAACGAUUUGGUGUCAGAGUAUCAGCAGUACCAAGACGCAACGGCUGAUGAUGAAGAAGGGUAUGAGUAUGAAGAAGAUGAAGAGGAAGUGCUGGAGGAGCAAUGACGGUAAGAGAAGAAAAGACCUCGUGUAGCUCAUUGUCGUGUGUGUGAGUUUUUUUUAAUUAGUGUCUUUUUAUCUCUCAUGUUGAUUGGCUUGGUUUUUCUUUUAUGCGGGUUUGGUUUUCUUUUAUUGACAUUUGGA
RNAcentral lists this long non-coding RNA (9721 nucleotides) under Brassica napus (rape). RNAcentral's name for it is "long non-coding RNA (BNAP_LNC005362)". Lineage: Eukaryota; Viridiplantae; Streptophyta; Magnoliopsida; Brassicales; Brassicaceae. The record is from RNAcentral.